GGGGGGGGGUGGGGGGGUGGGUGGGGCAGGCAAGGCGGGGGAGGGGGCGGGGGGCGUGCUGUUCUGGUGGUAGCGGCGGGCGGGUGAGUAACGCGUGGAUAACCUACCUAUAAGACGGGGGUAACUUCGGGAAACCGGGGCUAAUACCGGCUACUAUUUUGAACCGCAUGGUUCAAAAGGGAACGACGGUCUGGCUGUCGCUUAUAGAUGUAUCCGCGCCGCAUAAGCUAGUUGGUAAGGUAACGGCUUACCAAGGAAACGAUGCAUAUCCGACCUGAGAGGGUGAUCGGCCACACUGGAACUGAGACACGGUCCAGACUCCUACGGGAGGCAGCAGUAGGGAAUCUUCCGAAAUGGGCGAAAGCCUGACGGAGCAACGCCGCGUGAGUGAUGAAGGUCUUCGGAUCGUAAAACUCUGUUAUUAGGGAAGAACAUAUGUGUAAGUAACUGUGAACAUCUUGACGGUACCUAAUCAGAAAGCCACGGCUAACUACGUG
This 497-nucleotide ribosomal RNA is filed under the name uncultured bacterium. RNAcentral's name for it is "partial 16S ribosomal RNA". It matches the Rfam family "Bacterial small subunit ribosomal RNA", at positions 37 to 507 of the family's 1533-position model. The record is from RNAcentral.